AAGAUUUUAAGUUAAAGCAAACUAAUAGCCUUCAAAGCUGGAAAUAAAACUAACUUUUAAGUCUUA
This 66-nucleotide transfer RNA is filed under the name Gryllotalpa pluvialis. RNAcentral describes it as "tRNA-Trp". The record is from RNAcentral. Lineage: Eukaryota; Metazoa; Arthropoda; Insecta; Orthoptera; Gryllotalpidae.